Molecule: ribosomal RNA, 101 nt
Filed under: uncultured bacterium
Lineage: Bacteria
Description: partial 16S ribosomal RNA
Rfam family: Bacterial small subunit ribosomal RNA
Source: RNAcentral
UACACACCGCCCGUCACGUCAUGAAAGUCGGCAACACCUGAAGUCGGCGAGCCAACCCGCAAGGGAGGCAGCCGCCGAGGGUGGGGUUGGCGAUUGGGACG